Cyprinus carpio (common carp) is the source of this 538-nucleotide long non-coding RNA. The record is from Ensembl. Lineage: Eukaryota; Metazoa; Chordata; Actinopteri; Cypriniformes; Cyprinidae.
UACACAUGAAAAUACUUAACACACAAUGCACAACAGAGUAAUAACUUUAGUCAUUUUACUAAAUUGCUGCUAAUUUCAUAUUUCUUUCUCUCUUUUUCAGUUCCCAGCAGACAGGAUGAUUUUAGCAAAGGAUAUACAUUUGGUAAUGAUGUAUGUUCUUAUUCUUUAUCAACAGUAGACCUCUAUAUUACCUGUCUCAAACAGGCAAGUAUGACAUCAUAACUGUUGAAUAAUGUGAAGCAACAGCAAUUACAGUCCAGCAGUGUCUUUUUAUGCUUUAUCCUUUUUUUUUUUCUUUCUCUCUUUUGCAUGUAACCGGGAUGAGUUCAGGAGGGAAGGGGAGGGUGUGGUCGAGAACCUGAAACAAACAGAGCUGUGAAGUUUGGCAUUAGUCCAUCUUCUCACUGCAAUCACGCUGAACUGAUAGCAGCUCCAGCGAUAUGUUUUUCCAAAUGGCCUGACAUGUUCAUUUGGGUACAAUUACUUUCACCAGUCAGGUCUGCAGCAGACAUUUGUCACAGAGGCAUUCACAUUACCG